RNAcentral lists this small RNA (127 nucleotides) under Salmonella enterica. RNAcentral describes it as "partial RtT sRNA". It matches the Rfam family "RtT RNA". From Rfam's summary of the family: This family represents a bacterial cis-regulatory element known as RtT RNA. The exact function of RtT is unknown although it is thought that it may be involved in changing the cellular response in relation to amino acid starvation. RNAcentral also lists the same sequence under 1 other name. The record is from RNAcentral. Lineage: Bacteria; Pseudomonadati; Pseudomonadota; Gammaproteobacteria; Enterobacterales; Enterobacteriaceae.
AUAUCUCUCCGUACGGGAAGGAUGAGAAGCUUCGACUAAGGUUCGAUUCGAGCGCAGCGAGAACGCGUUGCCGCAGGCAACGACCCGAAGGGCGAAGCGCGCAGCGCUGAGUCAUCCUUCCCCCACC